Molecule: unclassified non-coding RNA, 224 nt
Filed under: Hevea brasiliensis (rubber tree)
Lineage: Eukaryota; Viridiplantae; Streptophyta; Magnoliopsida; Malpighiales; Euphorbiaceae
Source: RNAcentral
CAUCAAGCAGGCUCUGAUAGCUUGCUCACGUCUUGCACAUUUAGGAAAUUGAGAGACAACUUUUUCAGCGGCUCCACAGAGAAGUACGCAGGUGUUUUGUACGGUCUUGGUGUCGAGAAUGGACAAAAUACUAAUUGAAAAGAAAUAAUUGGGAAAAUGAUUGAUGAAUAUUUGUAGACUACCUGAGUGUGAGACUUUUAAUUCUCUUGUAUACUUUGCCAAAA